CCUACGGGAGGCAGCAGUGGGGAAUCUUGCGCAAUGGGCGAAAGCCUGACGCAGCCAUGCCGCGUGAAUGAUGAAGGUCUUAGGAUUGUAAAAUUCUUUCACCGGGGACGAUAAUGACGGUACCCGGAGAAGAAGCCCCGGCUAACUUCGUGCCAGCAGCCGCGGUAAUACGAAGGGGGCUAGCGUUGCUCGGAAUUACUGGGCGUAAAGGGAGCGUAGGCGGAUAGUUUAGUCAGAGGUGAAAGCCCAGGGCUCAACCUUGGAAUUGCCUUUGAUACUGGCUAUCUUGAGUGUGGGAGAGGUUAGCGGAACUCCGAGUGUAGAGGUGAAAUUCGUAGAUAUUCGGAAGAACACCAGUGGCGAAGGCGGCUAACUGGCCCAUUACUGACGCUGAGGCUCGAAAGCGUGGGGAGCAAACAGGAUUAGAUACCCUGGUAGUCCACGCCGUAAACGAUGAGUGCUAGUUGUCGGCAUGCAUGCAUGUCGGUGACGCAGCUACGACAUUAAGACACUCCGCCGUCGGGGAGGUACGGUCGGCGAAGAAUUAAAACUUAAAGUAAGUAGUAGACGCGAGAGACGUCGACGACGACGACGACGGAGGGAGGAGG
RNAcentral lists this ribosomal RNA (608 nucleotides) under uncultured bacterium. Its description in RNAcentral is "bacterial SSU rRNA". The stretch from base 1 to 518 matches the Rfam family "Bacterial small subunit ribosomal RNA", at positions 338 to 873 of the family's 1533-position model. The record is from RNAcentral.